AUGUGCCUCUUAAUUAGGGGAUAGAAUGAAUGAACCCACAUAGGAGAACCUAUCUACUAAGGUAAAAUAAAAAUUAACAUCGAGGUGAAAAGGCCUCAAUAUAAAAACAAGACAACCAGUCCCUAAAAGCUUACCUAACAAUUUCCAUUAACUAUUCUGCUGGGGAAGCAGCCUUUGAAGCAAAGGGAUAAAAAAGACAAUAACUCAUCCUAUAAACCUUUCAAAAAUUCCAAAAAGCUACUUUAGGGAUAACAGGCUAAUAGAUUUUCAGAGACCCUAUCGAAAAAUCUGUUUGGCACCUCGAUGUUGGCUUAGGGAUCCUAACAAUAGAAGAAGAUUGUCAAGGAAGUUUGUUCAACUUUUAACGCCCUACAUGAUCUGAGUCCAAACGGGAGACC
Molecule: ribosomal RNA, 398 nt
Filed under: Salvatoria euritmica
Lineage: Eukaryota; Metazoa; Annelida; Polychaeta; Phyllodocida; Syllidae
Description: partial 16S ribosomal RNA
Rfam family: Bacterial large subunit ribosomal RNA (bases 80-398)
Source: RNAcentral